Molecule: small nuclear RNA, 160 nt
Organism: Hibiscus syriacus
Lineage: Eukaryota; Viridiplantae; Streptophyta; Magnoliopsida; Malvales; Malvaceae
Product: U1 spliceosomal RNA
Exons: 1
Source: RefSeq, a predicted model, not a curated record
AUAUUUACCUGGACGGGGUUAAUGGAAAAUCAAGGUUCAUGGCCUAGGUAAGCGACCUCCAUUGCACUUGGGAGGGGUGCUCGUCUAAGGUCUUCCCACUGUAGGAGAGCUUACGUCAUAAUUUGUGGUACUGGGCGAGUUUGAGCUUCAAUCGAGCUCG